GACGAACGCUGGCGGCGUGCUUAACACAUGCAAGUCGAGCGGUAAGGCCCUUUCGGGGGUACACGAGCGGCGAACGGGUGAGUAACACGUGGGUGACCUGCCCUUAGCUCUGGGAUAAGCCUGGGAAACUGGGUCUAAUACCGGAUAUGACUCCAUGACGCAUGUUGUGGGGUGGAAAGCCUUGUGCGGCUGGGGAUGGGCCCGCGGCCUAUCAGCUUGUUGGUGGGGUAAUGGCUCACCAAGGCGA
This 247-nucleotide ribosomal RNA is filed under the name uncultured Actinomycetes bacterium. RNAcentral's name for it is "uncultured actinobacterium partial 16S ribosomal RNA". It matches the Rfam family "Bacterial small subunit ribosomal RNA", at positions 28 to 276 of the family's 1533-position model. Lineage: Bacteria; Bacillati; Actinomycetota; Actinomycetes. The record is from RNAcentral.